UAAAAUGGCUAAACUGGCUUGUCAAAGCCUGAUCUUGUCAGAACUCAGAAACCAAGCAAGGCUGUGCUGGUUAGUACUUGAAUGGGAGACCACAGAGAAUAUCAAAUACCAC
RNAcentral lists this ribosomal RNA (112 nucleotides) under Periophthalmus magnuspinnatus. The record is from RNAcentral. Lineage: Eukaryota; Metazoa; Chordata; Actinopteri; Gobiiformes; Gobiidae.